ACAAGAGAAUCUCAAGAAAGAUUAAAACAAGCGGAAGGAACUCGGCAAACCUCAGCCCCGCCUGUUUACCAAAAACAUCGCCUCUUGCCUCAAUAAGAGGUCCCGCCUGCCCAGUGACCCAAUUCAACGGCCGCGGUAUCCUGACCGUGCGAAGGUAGCGUAAUCACUUGUUCUUUAAAUAAGGACUAGUAUGAACGGCACCACGAAGGCUGUACUGUCUCCCGCCUCUAAUCAGUGAACUUAAUCUCCCCGUGAAGAAGCGGGGAUAAAACCAUAAGACGAGAAGACCCCAUGGAGCUUAAAACAAAAGGCACCUGCUAACAACAAAGUUAAGCGACUUGACCUGACGUUUUCGGUUGGGGCGACCACGGAGAACAACCCACCCUCCAUGCUGAAAGAUGAUAAUCUUAGCCAAAACAACCCAUUUAAGCACCAGAAUCCUGACAUUCAUUGACCCAAUCUAAUUGAUCAACGAACCAAGUUACCCUGGGGAUAACAGCGCAAUCCACUUCGAGAGCCCCUAUCGACAAGUGGGUUUACGACCUCGAUGUUGGAUCAGGGUUCCCAAGUGG
RNAcentral lists this ribosomal RNA (572 nucleotides) under Uperoleia lithomoda (stonemason's toadlet). RNAcentral describes it as "partial 16S ribosomal RNA". It matches the Rfam family "Bacterial large subunit ribosomal RNA", at positions 1670 to 2553 of the family's 2925-position model. The record is from RNAcentral. Lineage: Eukaryota; Metazoa; Chordata; Amphibia; Anura; Myobatrachidae.